RNAcentral lists this ribosomal RNA (465 nucleotides) under uncultured bacterium. Its description in RNAcentral is "partial 16S ribosomal RNA". It matches the Rfam family "Bacterial small subunit ribosomal RNA", at positions 339 to 795 of the family's 1533-position model. The record is from RNAcentral.
CUACGGGUCGCAGCAGUGAGGAAUAUUGCGCAAUGGGGGAAACCCUGACGCAGCGACGCCGCGUGGAUGAUGAAGGCCUUAGGGUCGUAAAAUCCUGUCAGGUGGGAAGAAGUGGAUAUAGAUUAAUACUCUAUUUCUUUGACGGUACCACCAAAGGAAGCACCGGCUAACUCCGUGCCAGCAGCCGCGGUAAUACGGAGGGUGCAAACGUUGUUCGGAAUUACUGGGCGUAAAGCGCGCGUAGGCGGUUUGUUAAGUCAGAUGUGAAAGUCCAUGGCUCAACUAUGGAAGUGCAUUUGAAACUGGCAGACUUGAGUACUGGAGGGGGUGAUGGAAUUCCCGGUGUAGAGGUGAUAUUCGUAGAUAUCGGGAGGAACACCAGAAGCGAAGGCGGCCUUCUGGACUGCAACUGACGCUAAGAUGCGAAAGUGUGGGGAGCAAACAGGAUUAGAUACCCGUGUAGUC